AGUGAACGCUGGCGGUAGGCCUAACACAUGCCAGUCGAACGGCAGCACAGUAAGAGCUUGCUCUUACGGGUGGCGAGUGGCGGACGGGUGAGGAAUACAUCGGAAUCUACUUUUUCGUGGGGGAUAACGUAGGGAAACUUACGCUAAUACCGCAUACGACCUACGGGGGAAAGCAGGGGAUCUUCGGACCUUGCGCGAUUGAAUGAGCCGAUGUCGGAUUAGCUAGUUGGCGGGGUAAAGGCCCACCAAGGCGACGAUCCGUAGCUGGUCUGAGAGGAUGAUCAGCCACACUGGAACUGAGACACGGUCCAGACUCCUACGGGAGGCAGCAGUGGGGAAUAUUGGACAAUGGGCGCAAGCCUGAUCCAGCCAUACCGCGUGGGUGAAGAAGGCCUUCGGGUUGUAAAGCCCUUUUGUUGGGAAAGAAAAGCAGCAGGUUAAUACCCCGCUGUUCUGACGGUACCCAAAGAAUAAGCACCGGCUAACUUCGUG
Molecule: ribosomal RNA, 492 nt
Filed under: uncultured bacterium
Lineage: Bacteria
Description: partial 16S ribosomal RNA
Rfam family: Bacterial small subunit ribosomal RNA
Source: RNAcentral